GUAAGCCAGCUAAUGUAUACUCAGGUCAGGACAAUUUCUUUGUUGUUUAGUGACUGUGCCUUAGGGUUCUUUAGGCACUUUGUCUCUAUUAACAUGUGGGCCAAGUCAAACUAGUUUGCAUCAUUUCCAGGGGCACUAUAUUUCUGAAUUUUAUGCUGAUUUUAAAAAAUAUUAAUUCUGUUCAUUUGAAGCACACACAACAGUGUAAUGCAUUAUCACCUUCGAAGAUUCAGUGGGUCCCUGAAACUCAAACUUGGAUCAAUGACUCCAGCUGAUAUAUUGUAACAGAGGGAGCAACAGAUAUAUGGAGUAGUAACCAAGUAAAGAAGUGACUACGGAAUCUCAAAGAUGGUGAGUAGACCCAUGGACUAGAUGGCUCCCUUUCCAUGAAAAAAAAGUGUGGUAGUUUUGUUAAUUACUGAACCCAGAGUAAGAGAUGGAAAAUGAGUAAGAGAGGGGAGCCAUAGGCCAGCUGGCAAGAAAACCAGGGUGGAUGACUAGAUGUAAUAGAAAGCAAGGUUUGAACUGAUGGCUUAGUUCUGCCUAAUGAUGAUGGUGCCUUGAUUUUGGGGAUGGGUCAGGCCACGAUCGCUUCAUCUUCUUUUUCCAGGCUUCAGUGGCAUAGCCCCAUGAUUGUUGGAGAGUUGGAGUCAUGGGCCAUUGGUUAACAAUCCCAUUGCUCUGCUGUAUAAUAUUGAUUUAUCUCAGGUAAUUUCCUGAUAAAUGAUAAUAUAAUAAUAAUUAUAUUAUUACAUCCAAAUCCCCCUAGAGUAGAAGACCUAAAUUCAAAUCUGACCUCAGAUACUUAUUAGGUAUGUGACCCUAAGCAGGUUAUUUAACUUCUGUUUGCCCCUGUUUCCUCAACUUCAGAAUCGCGAUAAAAAAUAGCACCCACCUUCCAUGAAUAUUAUAAAGAUCAAAUGAGGUAAUAUUUGUAAAACACUUAAAAUAGUGCCCAGCACAUAAUAAGCACUCAUUAAAUGCUUGUUUUCUUCCCCUUCAUUCCCUCCCUC
This 1013-nucleotide long non-coding RNA is filed under the name Monodelphis domestica (gray short-tailed opossum). RNAcentral describes it as "lncRNA (ENSMODG00000031618.2)". The record is from RNAcentral. Lineage: Eukaryota; Metazoa; Chordata; Mammalia; Didelphimorphia; Didelphidae.